This 67-nucleotide transfer RNA is filed under the name Camelus bactrianus (Bactrian camel). It matches the Rfam family "tRNA". Rfam says of the family: Transfer RNA (tRNA) molecules are approximately 80 nucleotides in length. Their secondary structure includes four short double-helical elements and three loops (D, anti-codon, and T loops). The record is from Rfam by way of RNAcentral. Lineage: Eukaryota; Metazoa; Chordata; Mammalia; Artiodactyla; Camelidae. RNAcentral also lists the same sequence under 2 other names.
GUAGGUAUAGCUCAGUGGUGGAGUGCAUGCUUAGCCGAGGUCCUGGGUUCAAUCCCCAGUACCUCCA